RNAcentral lists this unclassified non-coding RNA (788 nucleotides) under Hevea brasiliensis (rubber tree). The record is from RNAcentral. Lineage: Eukaryota; Viridiplantae; Streptophyta; Magnoliopsida; Malpighiales; Euphorbiaceae.
CAAGCUCAUUUUUUACUUCUUCAUGACUAUACUCGGACUCAUUCUCACUGUCAUCUAAAUCAUCAGCGUAACCCUGGCGAUAAGGGGAAUAAACUUCAUCAUCUAGAGGGACAAGCUUCAAGGUAAGACGGCCAUUGCAUCUGUGAGCCUGGAAGUACUCAUGAUGCUUCACCCUCUCUUCUCUAAUAAUCAAUCUUCCAUCCUCUGUGUAGUGUCGCCUCAAAACCCAAGGCAUAUGGGAAGAUAAGUUCCCAGUGCGUGCGAGCGAUGGCAUUGGUGGUGGAAACUCCUUCAUUGCACACCUUUGAUCCCUCUUGCUACGUCUUUGACUGAAACCCUGACUAUUUUCCACCUUUGAUGAUGAUGUGAAAAUAUCAUAAUUGUUUUUCAGAUCAAGACAACUCUCAACGCCAAUGUAGUCCCCAAUGAGGGCAGAACAAGGUGGAGGCGAAGUGAAAGACCCCAUAAUGCUUGAAGUUGCACUAAAUCUACCACCGUCAGAAAGUUUUUCUUCUUGUGAUGACAGGCUCACAAGACACUGAUCAAUCUUGUGGGUCUGUGUUGAUGUUGCUGAGUUUUGGAUCUUGACGUCAAGAUUAGGUUCCAUAUGUGAAUUGGAGAUAUUCACAAUAUGCUGCCAUUAUAAACUCACCAGAGAAAUUAAGGAAAGGAGAAUAGGUGAAGGAUGAGGAUGAGGAGGAGGAGAUGGGGUUGGUCAGUGCAGGCACAUCUCCUCUCUCUCAUAGGCGUUUCCACCUAGAGGAGACUUGAGAAUAAGAAGAUGAGCA